Molecule: ribosomal RNA, 301 nt
Filed under: uncultured bacterium
Lineage: Bacteria
Description: partial 16S ribosomal RNA
Rfam family: Bacterial small subunit ribosomal RNA
Source: RNAcentral
CAGCAGCCGCGGUAACACGUAGGGUGCGAGCGUUAAUCGGAAUUGCUGGGCGUAAAGCGUGCGCAGGCGGUUUUGUAAGACAGGCGUGAAAUCCCCGGGCUCAACCUGGGAAUGGCGCUUGUGACUGCAAAGCUAGAGUGCGGCAGAGGGGGAUGGAAUUCCGCGUGUAGCAGUGAAAUGCGUAGAUAUGCGGAGGAACACCGAUGGCGAAGGCAAUCCCCUGGGCCUGCACUGACGCUCAUGCACGAAAGCGUGGGGAGCAAACAGGAUUAGAUACCCCAGUAGUCCCUGUCUCUUAUAC